UUGGGUCUGCGGGCGUUCGCUUGUUCAUCAAGAGGAAAGUCCGGACACCAUAGAGCAGAGUUCCCUAUGAAAGUAGGGGCUUAUUUUGGCGACAAAAUAAGACGGAUAGUGUCACAGAAAAUAAACCGCCAUUAAUCCAUUCCAUUUAAAUUGUACAAGUUUAAAUUCGAGUGGUUUUAACGGUAAGGGUGAAACGGUGAGGUAAGAGCUCACCGCAUCAACGGUAACAAUGAUGGCUUGAAAAACCCAACUCGGUGCAAGACAAAAUAGGAAAUCGAGCGGCUCGCUCAAUGAUUUCGGGUAUGUCGCAUAGAUAAAUGAACGCACAGCUAACGCCUUUUCGGAUACGGAUUUUUUUAGGUACACUUUUGUAGGUCUAAAAAAUCGUUUGUGAAAUUGAGUUAGUGGACAGAAUCUGGCUUACAGUAGACCCAAAUCG
Molecule: RNase P RNA, 439 nt
Filed under: Puniceicoccaceae bacterium
Lineage: Bacteria; Pseudomonadati; Verrucomicrobiota; Opitutia; Puniceicoccales; Puniceicoccaceae
Description: RNase P RNA component class A
Rfam family: Bacterial RNase P class A
About the family: Ribonuclease P (RNase P) is a ubiquitous endoribonuclease, found in archaea, bacteria and eukarya as well as chloroplasts and mitochondria. Its best characterised activity is the generation of mature 5'-ends of tRNAs by cleaving the 5'-leader elements of precursor-tRNAs.
Source: RNAcentral